Molecule: long non-coding RNA, 6517 nt
Filed under: Sus scrofa (pig)
Lineage: Eukaryota; Metazoa; Chordata; Mammalia; Artiodactyla; Suidae
Description: lncRNA (ENSSSCG00015015149.1)
Source: RNAcentral
GCUCCCACGGCAUAUGGAGGUUCCCAGGCUAGGGGUCUAAUCGGAGCUGUAGCCACCAGCCUAUGCCACAGCCACAGCAACACAGGAUCCAAGCUGUGUCUGUGACCCACACCACAGCUCACGGCAAUGCCGGAUCCUUAACCCACUGAGCAAGGCCAGGGAUCAAACCUGCAACCUCAUGGUUCCUAGUUGGAUUUAUUAACCACUGAGCCACAAUGGGAACUCCAAGAUGGUAGAUCUUAUGUUAAGUGUUAUUUCCAGAAAAAAGAAAAGAAAAGAAAGAACAAUAAUAACAGAGGAGGUGGGAGGAAGCUUCAGGAGGUGAUGGAUAUGUUUGUGGCCUUGAUGUGGGGGAUGGUUUCCUGGGUACAUAUUUAUCUUCAAAUUCGUCAAGUUGUAUACAUUAAAUAGGUUCAAAUUUACGAGUCAAUCGUGUCUCAAUAAAGUGGUUUUAAAAAAAAAAAACUACUGAUGAGAAGUGAGAUAUCUUCCAGCUUUUCAGGGAAGAAAGGAACAGGUCACAGCUAUGACUCAGCUUCGAUCCCUGGCCCAGGAACUUCCACAUGCCACACGUGCAACCAUUAAAAAAAAAAAAAAAAAAAAAAACACUUUACCAGGUUAAUUUUGUCCUGUCUCUCUCUCUUUUUUUUUUUUUUUGGCUUUUUAGGGCCGCAUCUGUAGCAUAUGGAGGUUCCCAGGCUAGGGGGCCAAUUGGAGCUGUUGCUGCCAGCCUACACCACAGCCACAGCAACGCCAGAUCUGAACCAUAUCUGCGAUCUACACCACAGCUCACGGCAACAUCAGAUCCUUAACUCACUGAGCAAGGCCAGGGAUCAAACCCACAAGGAUGGAAACUCCAAUUUUAUUCUAUCUUUUAAGCUUUACUUACAGCACUUUUGCUGCACAAAAGUUUUACAUGUUAGCCAGCUUUAUUAAUCCAUUUUUGCCUUAUCUUACCUUUUGUGACAAGCUUAAAAGAAUCUACUACACAAUUAUUAAGAUAGCCAUCCAAUUUCUUUUUCACAUCUUUAAAUAUCUGUUCCUCUGAAACUUGCAUGGAUGACAUAGCGGGGACCAGCCUCAAGAUUUCUGCCUGGCGGAGUAACCCAACACCUCCCCACUGGCCUGAAAAGCCAUCUCCUUUCCGUGUUGUCCUUUCUUCGGCUUUCCAGUCUUUUCCACCGCCUCCCCCUCUCUGUACUUUGGCCACGAGAGCUGGGACAUUUUGUAUUGUCCUACAGAGCAUCUCUCUGACUCCUCUUCUCUUUCAAAAUUUUCAUGGACUUUCUAGCAUAUUUGUUCAUCCAACCAAACUUUUACAUUCAAUCAUGAUAAAAAGCAAAAUGUUGAAACUUUAGAAUUUGCAUACACAGUGUUAUAAUAAAGUUUCCCCGAAACAGUGUGUAGAACAGAAAUCAGCAUUUUCUUUCUGUAAAGAGUCAAAUAGUGAAUAUUUUAGUCUUUGCAGGCUGUAUGUUCCGGUCACAGCUCAACUCUGGCAUUGAAGUUCAAAAGCACUGUAGAUGGUAAAUAAAUGGGUGUAGACUUUUUGAUGAUGGCCAUUCUGACGGGUGUGAGGUGGUACUUCACAGUAGUUUUAAUUUGCAUUUCUCUAAUAAUGAGCAAUGUUGAGCCUCUUUUCAUGUGCUUUUUUGGCCAUCUGUCUUCUUUGGAGAAAUGUCUAUUUAGAUCUAUUGACCAUUUUUGAUUGGGUGGUUUGGUGUAAUAAAUUAAGCUGCAUGAGACGUUUGUGCAUUUUAGAGAUUAGUCCCUUGUCAGUUGUUGCAUUUGCAAAGAUUUUUUUCCCAUCCUUUGGGUUGUCUUCUUUUUUUAUGGUUUCCUUUGCUGUGCAAAAGCUUUUGAUUAAUUAGGUCCCAAAUGUUUAUUUUUGUUUUUAUUUUCAUUCACUCUAGGAGGUGAAUCCAAAAAGAGAAUGCUGUGAUUUAUGUCGAAGAGUGUUCUGCCUAUGUUUUCUUCUAAGAGUUUUAUAGUGUCUCGUCUUAUAUUUCGGAAUUUAACACGUUUUUAGUUUAUUUUUGUGCAUGGUGUUAGAGAGCAGUGUAACUUCAUUCUUUUACAUGUAGCGCUCCAGUUUUCCCAGCACCACUUAUUGAAGACACUGUCUUUUCUCCACUGUAUGUUCUUGCUUCCUUUGUUAUAGAUUAAUUGACCAUAGGUGUGUGGAUUUAUUUAUGGACUUUCUAUCCUAUUCCACUGAUAGUAUACUUCUGUUUUUGUGCCAGAACCAUACUUUUUUGAUGACUGCAGCUUUGCAAUCUGAAGUUAAAGAGCCCGAUUCCUCCAGUUCCAUUUUUUUAGGAUUGCUUUGGCUAUUUAGGGUCUUUUGUGUUUCCAUACAGAUUUUAAAAGUUUAUAAACAAUAACUUUUGGAGAGGGUGUGGAGAACAGGGAGCCCUCCUAUACUGUUGGUGGGAAUGUAAAUUGAUGCAGCCACUAUGGAGGACAGUAUGGAGUUUCUUUAACAAACUUAAUAUAGAACCCCCAUAUUAUCUAUAUAUUUAUUUAGAGAAAACCAUAAUUCAAAAAGAUAUGUGCACCCUAACUUUCAUUACUGCACUAUUUACAAUAGCCAAGACAUGGAAGCCACCUAAAUAUGGAUAUAUAGGAAUGGAUAACAAAGAUGUGGUACAUAUAUACACUGGAAUAUUACUCAGCCAUAAAAAAGAACAAAAUAAUGCCAUCUGCAGCAACAUAGAUGGACCUAGAGAUUAUAAUAGUAAGUGAAGUAAGUCAGACAAAGAAAAAUAUCAUAUGAUAUCACUAAUAUGUGGAAUCUAAUUUAAAAUGAUACAACAGAACACAUUUACAAAAGAGCAAGAGGCUCUAAGAUUUCAAAACUAAACUUAUGAUUACCAAAGGGGAAACACUGGGGAAAGGGAUAAACUGGGAAUUGAGGAUUGAAAUACACACAUUACCAUAUAUAUAAUUGGUAAGUAAUAUGAACCUACUGUAGAGCACAGGAAAAUCUACUCAAUACUCUGUAAUAACCUAUAUGGGAAAAGAAUCUGAAAAAAAUGUAUAUGUAUAUAUAUAUCUGAUUUAUUUUACUGUACAUCUGAAACUAACACAUUGUAAAUAACUAUAUCCCAAUAAAAUUCAAUUAAAAAAUAAAAUAAAAACACUGUGCACUAAGAAAACCCAUCCAUGGGUGUGGAUGGGAGGGAAGAGAGCUAGCAUCUCGAACAUUUGACUGCCAUUCCCUGUCCUAAUUCAUGGUCCAGACAGACUAACACCCAGGUAUUUGCCUCUGAGACCAAUACCCUUUGCAUAAAAGUCAUAUUUAGAGCCACAGUGACUCUGUGGGAACCCUCCUCUCCCUCUAAAUAAUUCGCAGUUGCUUGAAACGUACAUCUAAGAAGAAAGAUACAUCAACCAAAGGGAAAAGGAAAGCCUGUAAGAGAAUGCUUGAGAGCUAUGGCCUGGGUGAUGAUGGGUCAGCAGCCAGGACAUAGGGCACAGAGGCAUCUGCUUCUACCCACCAGCACCUUCCCCAGGCCCUGACUUCCUCCUGCUCCCACGUUGGCACAGGGUCUUGGGAGGCCAGGGGCCAGGUCUGCAGCUGGAGCCUUCCAGGCCCACUGGAAUAAGAUGGGAGCUGGUGAGGGUGAGACCUGGCCAAGCAACCACAAGUCCAGGGCUCCAUCUUCUCUCUGAACCACCAGCCCCCUCCAGCACACCCCCCUGCCCCCCCACCGCCACCCUGUGUUCACUCAUUCAAACCUAGUGUAGUUGUGCUCUCUGAGCCAGGCCGUGCUGGGGCCUGGUGCUGAGCAGAACAGGCCAGCCCCUGGGCCUCAUCCAGCUUCUUGCCUGUACUUGCAGGUACUCAGUCUGGGUCCACCACUUGAGAGCUGUCAGAAAAGCAGAACCCCAGCCCCCGCCCCACGACCACUGAGCCAGAAUCUUCGCUUUACACCAUCCCAGGCAAUUUGAAUGCAUAUUCAAGUUUGGGAUACGCUGGUUUAGACACUCAUUUCCAUCAUUGAGGAUCAGACUGGGGUCUCCAAAGACAUGUAAGGUGGGCUCCCUGCCCUUGACUUUCAUGAGAGCUGGUGUUGGAGAAAAUAACUCUUCAGCUGCUAGAUCUCAAAGGAUUUCAAAGCUCGUGUAAUUCAAGGCCCUCAUUUUGCAGAUGAAGAAAUCAACACCCAAAGAAGCAGGGAGAUUGUUCAGGGAAGAAGCUAGAAGUGGAACUAAGGAUCUCACUCUCCAGUUCAGUGUGCCCAUUGCAAGGCUGAAGAAAGCUGGGUAAACGCAUCUGUAAGAGGAAGGGUGACAAAAUGAGGCAGGUAGGACAGGGAGCCACAGUAGACUCUAGGGUCCCUCAGAAAUACUGCAGGCAGGUCAUUUCUGCAGCCCCUUCCAAGUCCGCUCUUUCACACCCUGAAAGCUGAUCCAGAUAAAGAAAUCCUGACCCUCUUUGGCUUCCCAUAAGAUGUACCUGCGCAGAAGAUGGCUAUCCAGUGUUGUUCUGUCUCGUUCCUCCAGCCGGCCUCCAUCAGUGAGCCCUGGAGUCCAAGACGCCCCCUUCAGGGUCACCCCAAGGCCCUCAACACCUCUGGCAAGAGCAUUGUAGACAAAGGAAUAUACACUCUUUGAGGUUGGGUGUGGAUCCAGCACACGGUGCACAGACGGGCUGCCCAGACUCUCUUACCCACCCAGUGUUCCUCGUUAAAUCCAAGCUCCUGAGCCAAGACUGUGGAGGAAACUGACAGCCCUCUUACUCCUCCUCUUCACCCACUUUUUUUUCUUUUUUUCAGCCGAACCUGCAGCACAUGGAAGUUCCCAGCUAGGGGUCAAAUCAGAGCUACAGCUGCAGGCCUACAUCACAGCCACAGCAACAAUGGACCCAAACUGCUUAUACAACCUACGCUGCACCUCCCACGAACACCGGAUCCUUAACCUACUGAGUGAGGCCAGGGAUCGAACACGCAUCAUCACAGAGAUGAUGCCAGGUCCUUAAUCCACUGAGCCACAGUAAGAACUCGCUCUCCACCCAUUUUAAGCAUUCCACAUUGCAUCUACUGACCCCAAGAAAUACUCUAGUUCUAGUUGAAUUUUCAUAAAAGGCUCCAGAGUGCAGUUUCUGACAUUGGAACAGAGAGUGUUUUUAGGAUGGAUUUUUUUUUUAACUCUUUUCCCACAAGAUGAGAUACGGGGAUCACAACUCAAUCUCUGUGCCCUACCCCGCCCCCGCCCAAUCAUGAAGACAAGUAGAAAGAGCGUUUGUGGGCUCCUAAAGCUAGUGCUCCCUUGGAGGUUAGCAGAGUUGAGGAUUUGUUACUUGAUCUAACAGCAAUGGCUUUCCAAUAGCCAGACACACUCGGCAGCAUUGAUCAGGGGGCCCGCUCCUUGUUUGCCUUGGAACACUGCUCAAUUUACACCAAUUAAAGAAUGCUUGGUUUGGGUAUUGAAGAAUCAUUAAGGGAUGCAAAUCCCCAAGGGCUUCUAAAAAUGACAUCUGACGAGAACGGUGAUUAAAGCAUGAAGGCGGCAUUAGUAUUUGAACAGUUUGACUGAUAUACAAAAUCAUUACAACGUCUCUCCAGGAAGAGUGACAUUAGGUCAAUGUAUGUACUUGCCUGGUCACCCUAAACAAAUCUGACAAGUCUAAUUUUAAGUAAUUGCUCAGAGUUUAGUGGCCGCCUCUGUCCCCACAAGGGCAGCUGUCUGGACCACAUCUUGUAAUUGAGAUGUGUCUUUAAACUCUAUGUGUCAACCCAACAUGCAAAUGAGCUCUCAGCAAAGGUUAAGGGUUACUGAUGUUCCAGCGAAUCAUUUUCCAGUCAAAUUUCCAUAGGAAAACGUGACGGUAGCCAGGAGUUAGCUCAUCAGCCAUUCAACCUCAUUCUGGGUGGGAAAUGUUGGAUUUUUCUAGCAGCAUCAGACUCUCUGGUUCAUCUAGAAACCAUCUUGAAGUGUGUUCUCUGGGCCAGCAGCAUUAGCAACAUCUGGAAACUUGUUAGAAAUGCAGAGUCCUGGGAGUUCUCUUGCUGUAGCGCAGCCGGUUAAGAAUCCAGCAUUGUCACUGCAAUGGCUGGGGUCCCUGCUGUGGUGCAGGUGUGAUCCCAGGCCUAGGAACUUCCACAUGCUGCAGGCUUAGCAGAAAGAAAGAAAGAGGGAGGGAGAGCGCUUAAAAGAGAGGAAGGAAGGAAGGAAAGAGAGCCCUGUCCCACCUCCCCCAAGCUGCUGAAUCAGACUUCAGGGCUGAGGUCCUGCAAUUAAUGCUUUAAUAAGCCCUCCCCUGAUCUAAAGCCCACUCAGGGAGUUCCCGUUGGGGCUCAACAGGACCUGACACCAUGCCUGUGAGGAUGCGGCUUCAAUCCCUGGGCUCGCUCUGUAUGUUAACAAUCUGGCUUUGCCGCAAGCUGCAUUUUAGGCCGCAGACGUGGCUCUGAUCUGUGGCAUAAGCCAGUAGCUGCAGUUCCAAUUCAACCGCUGGCCGGGGAACUUUCAUAUGCCACAGGUGAGGCCCUAAAAAGAAAAAAAAAAAAAA